Molecule: ribosomal RNA, 1444 nt
Filed under: uncultured bacterium
Lineage: Bacteria
Description: bacterial SSU rRNA
Rfam family: Bacterial small subunit ribosomal RNA
Source: RNAcentral
AGAGUUUGAUCCUGGCUCAGGAUGAACGCUGGCGGCGUGCUUAACACAUGCAAGUCGAACGAACCUUCGGGUUAGUGGCGGACGGGUGAGUAACGCGUGAGAAUCUGCCCUCAGGAGGGGGAUAACAGUUGGAAACGACUGCUAAUACCCCAUAUGCCGAGAGGUGAAAUGAAUUUCGCCUGGGGAUGAGCUCGCGUCUGAUUAGCUUGUUGGUGGGGUAAUAGCCUACCAAGGCUUCGAUCAGUAGCUGGUCUGAGAGGACGAUCAGCCACACUGGGACUGAGACACGGCCCAGACUCCUACGGGAGGCAGCAGUGGGGAAUUUUCCGCAAUGGGCGAAAGCCUGACGGAGCAACGCCGCGUGAGGGAUGGAGGCCUUUGGGCUGUAAACCUCUUUUCUCAAGGAAGAAGAUCUGACGGUACUUGAGGAAUAAGCCACGGCUAAUUCCGUGCCAGCAGCCGCGGUAAUACGGGAGUGGCAAGCGUUAUCCGGAAUUAUUGGGCGUAAAGCGUCCGCAGGCGGCCGUUUAAGUCUGUUGUUAAAUCGUGGAGCUCAACUCCAUCACGGCAAUGGAAACUGUUCGGCUUGAGUAUGGUAGGGGCAGAGGGAAUUUCCGGUGUAGCGGUGAAAUGCGUAGAUAUCGGGAAGAACACCAGUGGCGAAAGCGCUCUGCUGGGCCAUUACUGACGCUCAUGGACGAAAGCCAGGGGAGCGAAAGGGAUUAGAUACCCCUGUAGUCCUGGCCGUAAACGAUGAACACUAGAUGUUGGGGGGAUCGACCCCCUCGGUGUCGUAGCUAACGCGUUAAGUGUUCCGCCUGGGGAGUACGCACGCAAGUGUGAAACUCAAAGGAAUCGACGGGGGCCCGCACAAGCGGUGGAGUAUGUGGUUUAAUUCGAUGCAACGCGAAGAACCUUACCAAGGCUUGACAUCCUGCGAAUCUCUAAGAAAUUAGAGAGUGCCUUCGGGAACGCAGUGACAGGUGGUGCAUGGCUGUCGUCAGCUCGUGUCGUGAGAUGUUGGGUUAAGUCCCGCAACGAGCGCAACCCACGUUUUUAGUUGCCAGCAUUCAGUUGGGCACUCUAGAAAGACUGCCGGUGACAGACCGGAGGAAGGUGUGGACGACGUCAAGUCAUCAUGCCCCUUACGCCUUGGGCUACACACGUACUACAAUGCUGCGGACAAAGAGUAGCGAUCUUGCGAAAGUUAGCUAAUCUCAUAAACCGUGGCUCAGUUCAGAUCGUAGGCUGCAACUCGCCUACGUGAAGGAGGAAUCGCUAGUAAUCGCAGGUCAGCAUACUGCGGUGAAUACGUUCCCGGGCCUUGUACACACCGCCCGUCACACCAUGGAAGUUGGCAUGCCCGAAGUCGUUACUCUAACCUUUUGGAAGAGGGCGCCGAAGGCAGGGCUAAUGACUGGGGUGAAGUCGUAACAAGGUAACC